Molecule: long non-coding RNA, 531 nt
Organism: Alligator mississippiensis (American alligator)
Lineage: Eukaryota; Metazoa; Chordata; Crocodylia; Alligatoridae
Exons: 3
Source: RefSeq, a predicted model, not a curated record
UACACAAAUAUCAUCAGCUUCACCUGCAGCUUUUCCUGAAAAGUCUGAAGUGCUCCAGUCUCUUGUGCCCUCCUUGAAUUCUUUUGCGUUACCAACAACAUGCCAGGAGAGUUUAUGCCAUAAUGGAGGGACUUGUCGUCACAUCUAUCUGGAUAAUGGGGCCUCCUCAUUUCACUGUGAUUGCCAACUUCACUUCACUGGGCAUUUCUGUGAGAAAGAUACAGCACUGUUUUUUCCAUCUUUCAAUGGGGAUGCCUAUUUAGAAUUGCCUUCCCUAACAUCUGUAUCCGAGACCAAGAUUGAAUCUGGGCAGGAACAAAACAGAAUUAUAACUAUAUAUUUGACAGUGAAAACAACUGCUUUAAAUGGCACUAUCCUUUAUGCCAGUGAAAAGAACUUUGGAGAACAGUUUCUUCAUCUAUAUCUUGUGGAAGGAAGACCAACAGUUCAAUUCAGCUGUGGCAAUUCUCAUAAUAUUCUAACUGUGUCUGUGAAUCACUCCAUCAGCAAUGGUGUGCUCACGCCUAUCAC